CCUACGGGAGGCAGCAGUGGGGGAUAUUGCACAAUGGGGGAAACCCUGAUGCAGCGACGCCGCGUGGGUGAAGAAGCGCCUCGGCGCGUAAAGCCCUGUCAGCAGGGAAGAAAAUGACGGUACCUGAAGAACAAGCCCCGGCUAACUACGUGCCAGCAGCCGCGGUAAUACGUAGGGGGCAAGCGUUAUCCGGAUUUACUGGGUGGAAAGGGGGCGCAGACGGCGAUGCAAGCCAGGAGUGAAAGCCCGGGGCCCAACCCCGGGACUGCUCUUGGAACUGCGUGGCUAGAGUGCAGGAGGGGCAGGCGGAAUUCCUGGUGUAGCGGUGAAAUGCGUAGAUAUAUGGAAGAACACCAGUGGCGAAAGCGACUUUCUGGACUGUAACUGACGCUGAGGCACGAAAGUGUGGGGAGCAAACAGGAUUAGAUACCCUAGUAGUC
This 440-nucleotide ribosomal RNA is filed under the name uncultured bacterium. RNAcentral describes it as "partial 16S ribosomal RNA". It matches the Rfam family "Bacterial small subunit ribosomal RNA", at positions 338 to 795 of the family's 1533-position model. The record is from RNAcentral.